Molecule: ribosomal RNA, 226 nt
Filed under: uncultured bacterium
Lineage: Bacteria
Description: partial 16S ribosomal RNA
Rfam family: Bacterial small subunit ribosomal RNA
Source: RNAcentral
GCGUUAUCCGGAUUCACUGGGUUUAAAGGGUGCGUAGGUGGGUUGGUAAGUCAGUGGUGAAAUCUCCGUGCUUAACAUGGAAACUGCCAUUGAUACUACUGGUCUUGAAUUUUCCGGAGGUAAGCGGAAUAUGUCAUGUAGCGAUGAAAUGCUUAGAUAUGACAUAGAACACCAAUGGCGAAGGCAGCUUACUGCAGGGAUAUUGACACUGAGGCACGAAAGCGUG